RNAcentral lists this RNase P RNA (363 nucleotides) under Parabacteroides sp. PH5-33. Its description in RNAcentral is "RNase P class A". It matches the Rfam family "Bacterial RNase P class A". Rfam says of the family: Ribonuclease P (RNase P) is a ubiquitous endoribonuclease, found in archaea, bacteria and eukarya as well as chloroplasts and mitochondria. Lineage: Bacteria; Pseudomonadati; Bacteroidota; Bacteroidia; Bacteroidales; Tannerellaceae. The record is from RNAcentral. RNAcentral also lists the same sequence under 11 other names.
GCAGUCUGCCGGUCUGUCGCUCAUUACCUGGUAAUGGGAGGAAAGUCCGGGCAACACAGAGCACCAUAUUUCCUAACGGGAAGCUGUCCGCGAGGGCAGAGUAGCGUAACAGAAAAUAACCGUUCCGCCUGGCGGAAUAAGGGUGAAAAGGUGAGGUAAGAGCUCACCGGGUCUCGUAGCAAUACGGGAUGCCGUACGCCUUAUGGGUUGUAAGGUCAUGUAUACCGGCGCAUGUAGGAUAGCUCGUCCGAUGCCGGGGGGUAGACCGCUAGAUCGUACCGGUGACGGUAAGGCAAGAUAAAUGGCAGACACUUUCGCCCUCGGGCGGAAGAACAGAACCCGGCUUACAGGCAGACUGCAUUU